This is a long non-coding RNA of Loxodonta africana (African savanna elephant), 973 nucleotides long. RefSeq lists it as uncharacterized. Lineage: Eukaryota; Metazoa; Chordata; Mammalia; Proboscidea; Elephantidae. The transcript is spliced from 3 exons. The record is from RefSeq and is a predicted model, not a curated record.
GGUACUGCAGAGGCUCAUUUGGGAGGUGUUAAGGUAGGUGUGAACCAGGGUGGUGCAAAUGGUUAAGCGCUCAAUUUACUAGCCAGAAGAUUGGUGGUUCGAGCCCACCCAGUGGUGACUUGGAAGUUAGUCCUGGCGAUCUGCUUCCAAAAGGUCACAGCCUUGAAAACCCUGUGAAGCAGUUCUACUCUGACACUCAUGGGGUCACCAUGAGUCAGAACCAACUUGACAACUAACAACAGCUACAAGGUAGGCAUGGAGCAGGUAUUUGGAAGAGUGCCUGGGUGUGCCCUUGGCCACCGCCCCCUGUCUAACCCUGCCCUCCCUUUCAGUGAAUCCAGUGUGUCUGGAUGUGGCUUACUCCCAGGUCUGGAUCAUCGAUCAGGGACCGGAGGAUGCAGAACAUCCACAAACACGUCCAGAGAGCAUGGAUUCCUCCGUCGUCUAUGCUGAGGUGGUGAGGGAGGCCAUAGAAGCCCUCAGCUAAGCAGAGAUGAAAAGGACAGAGAAGGAGCUACAGUAAGUAAGAAAAUGUUGUGGGCCCUUGGUUCUCCAGGACCUGGAUCAGGCUACCUGUGUGCUUCUCCUACAAGAGCACCUAUUUCAAGGGAAAGAAGGAUUAUCUGCCAGGCACUCCUCAGGGUAGGCCAGUGGCUAAGUGGCCCCUGAGGAUGCUAUAGAAGAUUAGGAGAAUAUCCAGAUCACUUAUGACCUGCUUAUGACCCAGACCUUGCAUUCUCUGUUUUUUUUUUUUUUCUUCUUCCAUUUUAACUGAUUUUCAGUGAAAGUUUAAAGCUCAAAUUAAUUUCUUACGCAAAAAAUUAUACAUAUAUUGCUUUGUGACAUUAGCUGCAAUCCCCACAAUGUAACAGCACACUCCUCCUUUCCACCCCGGGUUCCCUGUAUCCAUUUGACCAGUUUCUAUCCCUUUCCUGCCUUCUUAUCCUGCUUUUGGACAGGAGCUGCCCACUUG